Molecule: ribosomal RNA, 230 nt
Filed under: uncultured Alicycliphilus sp.
Lineage: Bacteria; Pseudomonadati; Pseudomonadota; Betaproteobacteria; Burkholderiales; Comamonadaceae
Description: partial 16S ribosomal RNA
Rfam family: Bacterial small subunit ribosomal RNA
Source: RNAcentral
AGAGAUGCAUUGGGUUUAAAGCGUGCGCAGGCGGCUUUGUAAGACAGAGGUGAAAUCCCCGGGCUCAACCUGGGAACUGCCUUUGUGACUGCAAGGCUGGAGUGCGGCAGAGGGGGAUGGAAUUCCGCGUGUAGCAGUGAAAUGCGUAGAUAUGCGGAGAAACACCGAUGGCGAAGGCAAUCCCCUGGGCCUGCACUGACGCUCAUGCACGAAAGCGUGGGGAGCAAACA